AGACUGGAUAGGAAAUAAAAAGGCAUCUUUUUAUUUUUAAAAGACCUUUUUCGGAAGGUAUGCUUAAAGAGGGGCUUGCGUCACAUUAGUUAGUUGGCAGGGUAAAGGCCUACCAAGACUAUGAUGUGUAGCUGGACUGAGAGGUUGAACAGCCACAUUGGGACUGAGACACGGCCCAAACUCCUACGGGAGGCAGCAGUAGGGAAUUUUCGGCAAUGGAGGAAACUCUGACCGAGCAACGCCGCGUGAACGAUGAAGUAUUUCGGUAUGUAAAGUUCUUUUAUUGAAGAAGAAAAAAUAGUGGAAAAACUAUCUUGACGAUAUUCAAUGAAUAAGCCCCGGCAAACUAUGUGCCAGCAGCCGCGGUAAUACAUAGGGGGCGAGCGUUAUCCGGAAUUAUUGGGCGUAAAGGGUGCGUAGGCGGUUUAAUAAGUCUAUAGUUUAAUUUCAGUGCUUAACACUGUCCUGCUAUAGAAACUAUUAGACUAGAGUGAGAUAGAGGCAAGUGGAAUUCCAUGUGUAGCGGUAAAAUGCGUAAAUAUAUGGAGGAACACCAGAGGCGUAGGCGGCUUGCUGGGUCUUUACUGACGCUGAGGCACGAAAGCGUGGGGAGCAAACAGGAUUAGAUACCCUGGUAGUCCACGCCGUAAACGAUGAGUACUAAGUGUCGGGAUUACUCGGUACUGAAGUUAACACAUUAAGUACUCCGCCUGAGUAGUACGUACGCAAGUAUGAAACUUAAAGGAAUUGACGGGACUCCGCACAAGCGGUGGAUCAUGUUGUUUAAUUCGAAGAUACACGAAAAACCUUACCAGGUCUUGACAUACUCUGCAAAGCUAUAGCAAUAUAGUGGAGGUUAUCAGGGAUACAGGUGGUGCAUGGUUGUCGUCAGCUCGUGUCGUGAGAUGUUAGGUUAAGUCCUAAAACGAGCGCAACCCUUGUCAUUAGUUGCCAGCAUGUCAYGAUGGGCACUUUAAUGAGACUGCCAAUGAAAAAUUGGAGGAAGGUGAGGAUCACGUCAAAUCAUCAUGCCCCUUAUGAUCUGGGCUACAAACGUGAUACAAUGGCUGUUACAAAGAGUAGCUGAAACGCAAGUUUAUAGCCAAUCUCAUAAAAGCAGUCUCAGUUCGGAUUGAAGUCUGCAACUCGACUUCAUGAAGUUGGAAUCGCUAGUAAUCGCGAAUCAGCAUGUCGCGGUGAAUACGUUCUCGGGGUUUG
This 1218-nucleotide ribosomal RNA is filed under the name Candidatus Phytoplasma cynodontis. Its description in RNAcentral is "bacterial SSU rRNA". It matches the Rfam family "Bacterial small subunit ribosomal RNA", at positions 166 to 1383 of the family's 1533-position model. Lineage: Bacteria; Bacillati; Mycoplasmatota; Mollicutes; Acholeplasmatales; Acholeplasmataceae. The record is from RNAcentral.